Molecule: long non-coding RNA, 3506 nt
Organism: Homo sapiens (human)
Lineage: Eukaryota; Metazoa; Chordata; Mammalia; Primates; Hominidae
Gene: PDGFA-DT
Product: PDGFA divergent transcript
Source: Ensembl
ACUCACCUGGCGGCUGCCACGCGCCCCCGCCCAGGAUCCGAGGCCUGGGGCAUCUGAAUGAGGACCCUCCACCCACAUUUCCACUUGGGAGCGAGCUCCAGUCGGGGAAAGGGCCUGCAGCCCGCCUCGUCCCCACCCUGGGACCCCGCGCCCCCCAGUCCCCCACUCCCGCGCCGAAGGCAGGGCCGCGCCCUGAGCCGGGAAGUCGAGGGGAUGGAAGGGAAAGGAGCCACCGGUGAGGGUCCCCCGGGUUCUGAGCCUCCCGCGUCGGGAUCCGUGGGGCGCACAGAGCGCCACCUCCGGCCGAGGCGCAGCUCAGAGCGCGAUGCGGGGGAGGAACGCGCGCGGAGGCCGAGGUCUGAGCGUGGCUAGACGGCUCCCACGCCGAGAAAGGGCGGGUGCGCCUGGGCUGGAUGGAUUUCGCCUCCCUAGACCAGGAGGGAUUGGACCCUGACUACAGGUCCAGGUGCUCGUCAGUGCCCUGCCAGGGGGUCUACGCGUCCUGGUACCGGGUCCAGCGGGGUGGCGUGCUGUGCAGACCCCGAGGCUAGACGGCCUAGGCCCCUGGAGCCCAGGAGACGCUUCCUUGGGUGAGCAGCGGAGAAUCCCGCCCGGCCCAGCCGUCACCCCCAACCCUGUCGAUUAAACCCCUGCCCCCGUCGCGGUCGCCCUCCCUCCAGACAAAGGCCGUUAAGGCGCAGCCCCGCGGGCGGUCUUUCAUCCCCAGCUAGGCCAGCUCUAGCAUUUCAAAGGCCGAAUCCGGAGAGCGCUUCGGGGGCUCUCCCCUUCCCCCAAAUAUUUGGGGAGCGACGCCUCUCCCUCCGCUCCCAGUGGGUCGCGUCUACACGCGCCCUUCCACACACCUGCAGGCCCCCUCCCCACGUCUCUCCCUUCCGUUGGCCGCAGCCCCACACCACGACCCCCGCGGUCAAGCAUGCCCUCUGGGUGGUCAGGACCAAGCGGGACCGGGACAGAACCAGGGGAGCCUUGGAAACGUGGAGGAGCCCCUUAAAGCCAGGCCUUGUCCCUCCAGGGGGAACUUGCGGCUUGGGAGGGGACACCCACUGCAUGGCUUCUGGAAAGAGCCGGACUCGCAGGGCCAGGACGCAGGCCGGACCCCGGCCUCAUUCUUCGGCCAGUUAUCCCGGAGUGGCGCGCAUCCUGUCUUCCUGGGCCUCGGACUGCUCGCGCGCAGAGGGGGCCCGAGGACACCUCUGUGGGGUUAGAGGACUCGGUAAGACGGUGUGGAAGGCAAGGAGGAAGGUCGCGUUGUAUUGGGGAUGGGGUACCCGUCCCUCCCAGCUUGAGGGAUCCUGGGGGUCCUCGCCGCCUCUGAGGGCCUAGAUGGCUGCUUCCCUCGGCUCCCCUGCCCGGCCUGGAGCUACGGGUGCGCCCAGCUAGAGUUUAGGGCCACCUGGGGACGUGCAAGGGGCGCUGGAGCGAGGCGGGGGCUGGGGCGGGGCGUGGGUGCUUCACCCGCGGGGGACGCAGAGCUUAGGCGAAAGCGGUGCAGGCAUCUCUCUAAUCGCCGGCCGCUAUUAAAAAUAAAACCGCGACCCGUCGCCAUGGCGACCACAACAACAGCGGCCGCGCGAGGGAGGCGAAAACUUGUGCAGCCGCGCGACAGCCGCCUUCUGGGGAGACUCGGGGCACGACGCACCCGGCGUGGGACUGGGACCCCCCUGCCCGGCCCCGCCACAUUCUCCGCCGGAUCCCCGGAAGACACAAGGAGACGUGGACCCCCACAGGCUUUUUUGGGGGGAUUGGGCGUUGAAACCGCAGGGCUGACUUAACCAAGAGGUCACCGACUUGGAUAAAAAACCCACGCCCGCGCGGACCCCCCUCCCCGGCCUUCGUUUCCAUUCAAACUCCCAGCGUCCUCAUUGCAGCCCCUGGGGAGGGGGACGGAGGGACGAGGUGGGUUUCAGGUGCUCGGCCCAGGAGGGGACGGUGCGACCCGGGCCCCGCCGGCGGGUUUUGCGCGCGGAGGCUGCGGCACCUGCCCCGCCCGCCCUGCCGCGAUCCUUGCAGACGGGGGCGGUCACAUGCUUCUUUCUGGCCAGGAAUCGAGUUUCACUUCCAGCCGCUAUUAGUCGGUUCACACAGUUCACUGCAAACAUUUGAUAAUGAGGCUAAAUAUACUCCCGCGUCGGAGGAGGCGUGGGCGUCCCCGCCCAGGCCCGGGAGACAGAGGCGCUGACCCCGGGACAGAGCCUGGCUUUGUGCGGGAGGCAGACGCGCCCCGCGCGCCGCCCCCGAAACAUUCGCACCCCAUGCUGAGGCGCGCGUCUGGGAGUCCGUGGGCGCCCCGAGGUGAGCCCGGGGCCCCUGGCGGAAGCAGCGGGGAGCUCCCGGCGGGUGCGGGGAGGUGCUGGUGGGAAGCAAGGUGCACCUGGCGGCCUGGGAUGUCCGGUCGCCCCCGGAGCCGGUGCAUCCGGCCUCUCCCGGCGCGCCCCGACGUGCCCGCGGGCUCAUAAUUACCGUGAGUCAGGUGCCCCAAAUAGGCCGAGCGAGGGGGGCCGUCGCGCAGCAGGGGCGGGUGGCCGGACGUCUGCCCGGGACUGGUUGCCUCCCGCCCCUCCCCAAGACCCUGGCACCCAGGGAGGGCGGGAAAGGCCUUGGCCAUUCCUCUGGGUAGGGGACUGGAGAGGGGAAGAAACUUUCGCCGAGUCCAGCGCUGCCCCCUCAUACCCAUCCCCACCCAGGCUGCGUGUCCGGGGCCCCUCCGGGGCUUGGCACCAGCAGGCACGCAGCGAUCGCCGUCGUUGUUAUUUAGUAGUAGUAGUAACGGCUGACAUUUACAGCGACGUCGAUGGCGCCAGGUGCCAAGCUCUUUCCUUGUAUAAUUUCAUGGACACUCACGCAUCAACUCUAAGCGAAGACUUGGAGCGGGGCUCAGCACCCCAGGGGUACCUCUGCAACCUCGAAAUGAAGUUGAAAAUAGCACAGGAGCCCACUAUCACUGUGUGAACAUUUUGUGAAUGAAGACAUGUAUGAAAGGAUGUUUGGAGGCUUCAAGAAACGAAAGCCGAGAGUCUAGCUAGACCAGAGCCAUCCAGCCCAGGAGCGAUGGCCACGUGUGGCCGCUGGACACGAGAGACGUGGCCAGUCCAAACUGUGCAGUGCGGGGCAGUGGAAGCCGUUGGAGGGCCUCAGGCAGGAACACAAGGUGUCGUGGCAGAAAGGAAGAAGGGGCCGGGCACGGUGGCCCACACCCGUCAUCCCAGCACUUUGGGAGGGAGGCCAAGGCAGGAGGAUCGCUUCAAUCCAGGAGUUCAAGAUCAGCCUGGGCAACACAGCAAGACCCCGUCUCUACUAAAACCCUAAAACUUAGCCAGGCUUGGUGGCAUGUGCCUAAGGUCCCAGGUCCUCGGGAGACUAAGGCAGGAGGAUUGCUUAAGCCCAAGAGUUUGAGGCUGCAGUGAACUAUUAUCACACCACUGCACUCAGCCUGGGUGACAGAGUGACUCUGUCUCAAAACUAAAUAAAUAAACAAUAAUUGUGUU